AGUGCUUCGACCGGUAAUGGAAAGUUCUAGCAUGUUUACUGUUUUCUUUCCAGUGACUUUCAUGUUUGUAAGUCAGCCUACAAGCUACAGAAAGGCUUAGUGACAACAUAUAAUCAUCAAAUCAGCACAAACGAAAUGAAUAUAUUACCAUUAUAAAGCAGUAUUCCAGAUUGUGGUAAAUAAAAGCUCUCAAGUUCAGUUUCUAAAGAUAGAUCUUCAAGCUAGUUCCCUGUCAUUAUUACUGUAGGGAUGUUUACAUGGGUGUAUAGUUUGUUUACUGCAAAGAGCCUUGUAGAGACAAUAGUUACAUUGCAUUCCCUAAGAUUACCUCCACUGGAAGCUACACCACCCACUAAGAGUAGAGGUCUGCAUUAUUCUGAAGUGCAGCAUUUUCAUUUCUUUCUCCAGGAAAUUAAAACUAAUCAUUCAGAGUGUAACAUGUGAGAAAAUAUGCAAGGACACUAUGGAACAAAAUUGAACUGGAAUCUACAAAACCAUUUAUUUUUGAUCAGAGCAUGAUGUAUGUUCACGAAUUAGUUCAUUCAGUCAUUGUGUAAAUGUUUUGUAGAAUAUUUUUUUUCAUUUUUAUGUGUUGUCCCAAUCUACAGAUUUUUAUUCAUAAUUUUUGAGCUGGUAAAUAUUUAGACAUAUGAAUAGACUGAAUAGACUCUUUUUUGCCAUGUCACUUGAGAAAAAAUCUGUGACAUAUUUUUUGACAGUCCUACUAAAAACUAAAUCUGUUUCCUGCCUUUGCUGACAUAGCUGAGAAUAAAUGAAAACGAAUCAUCUUCCUUGGCAUAGUCUCAAUAUAUCAGUCUAAUGGAUCUAUUCCAUUAGGCUGCAGAAUUGUUGAGAAUCUGUGUACUGGGCCUUGCAUUUGAUCUUGUUUUUCAUGACAAUGGGGACCAAACCAUUUUGACUCUGGUUUGUUAAACAGGCUCUGUAUAAACCCACCCAUUUCUACACACAAUCCUUUAAAAUCUUUCCAACGAGCAUGCUUAUAAUUGUUGAGUCAGUGAAAGGAAAUGGGAAGGUAGAAGGCUUCCAUAUUUCACAGCAGUCCAAGGCAAUUCACUAGGAGGGAAGGCGAGCUUAAUUCCCCUUCCACUUACUUAUCCUGAGCAAAGCUGCUGAUUGUUGGGGGCAAUAUACUGACUCUGUAAACUGCUUAGAGAGGGCUAUAAAGCACUAUGAAGUGGUAUCUAAGUCUAAAUGCUAUUGCUAUUCUCUGUAUCCCAACGAUUCAGAAAUUUUUGCAAAGGAUCUUUGGAGGUAGAAAACCUAAUCUACUCUACUCCUCUACUCUACACCACUCCAAGAAAUUCUGAGUCCUGCUAUGGGAAUUGUUAGCAGCUGGAAAUAUGUACUUUGUUUCCUAUUAUUCAUCUAAUAAACUUGUCCAUCUGACUGGGAAAAAGAGGAACUACUACAGCAAGAAUCUACCACAUUACUGUAAAGUCGAUAUAUGCAAAAGUCACCAUAUGCUGGCAGAAGUUAUGCAACCUAAUUACUCUUCCAUAGCUGGAAUUCUGAGAGAUCUAUUUGCUGACUCCUGACUCUGACCCUGUUUUCCAUGAGCAGAUAAAGACCAAAGCAAUCCUAUCAGUUAGCUCAGUUGGUGCAGAACUCAAAAAGAAGAUUCACAAUAAAGCAGACCCACCUCCAGAAAACAAAAAGAAUAUCAGAUGUGUUCUUCGUGUAUGUACUUUUUGUACUUGCAUACAUACAUGUUUGUUUGUUUUUUGCAUGCAUGCUAGGAGAACAUUGGCUUCAAUAUGACUCCGUAAUAAACGUAAGGCUUUUCCCCAAGGUGCAAAUAUUUAAUUAAAUAAUAAAAGAAGCAAUUUCAAGCUAUAUGAUAGAUAAUGUGCAUACUGGGUAUAUUAUACUUGCUUUGUAUUUUACAUACUCAAGAACAUAUCUUCCUCUAUCCAUUACUAAUUUUAGCCUAAAUAAGAAACUUAUUUCACCACUUCAAGGAAGGCAAAACCUUAGGUCGCAUCCUAAUUUUCUGGUAUCACAACACCUCCUGAGAUGUUAAAAAAAAUGUGUUUCACAUCUACAAAAAAAUCACCCAUCCUGUACGCACAUUGGAUAACCUUUGUCCACAAGAAAUGAUAUGCUAGCUUGACUAUUUUUCCAACCAAUCAACUAACUCCAUGAUAAAACACAAUCCAAUGAUUGAAUAAAAUCUGGGAAACUUGUACAGUAACAUAAACCAGUACAGCCUAUCACCUACUAUUCGAGAUCCCAAGGAUGAGAUUAACCAAGAAAAGUGACUUUGAUAACUUUCUUAUUUUGGAUUUACAAAAGAGACGUGUUAAAGUUUUGAAGAUAUUUUGAAGAAAACAGAGAAAAGAAAUGAAAAGAAAUCAAAUUCUGGGACACUAUUUAAAGAGAUUAAAGAGCAAGAUUGUUAAAAGCAAAAUGAAAGAAUACAAAGUUGAUAUAUUUAACCAAGGUUAAAAUAUAUGUUGUAUGUGGAAAUUCUUAAUGGAUUUUUGCUCACCAGAACCAAAUGAUGAGGCUUUAAAGAUUUGUUUAAGGUAAGAGAUGAAAUAUGGGAAGAGAGGAUCUUUUGUCCUAUUUUCAUAGAAAGUAAUAAGCUGGUGUUAAAAGUAAGGAAAGGAGUAUGAAGUUGGUUUAUUUGAUUGAGCUUAAAAUAUAUAUGUUGUUAUUUCUGGUAACUCUUAAUAGACAUUGGCUAAUUAGAGGUGAAUGAAGAAGUUUUAAAGAAUUUGUUUACAGAUAAGAGAGAUGUUUUUUAUUUUUGUCUAAAUUUUAAUAAAAUUAUUUAAAAAUUAAGUAAUUGUUACAAUAUGUGAUUAUAGCAAUAAAUGGAGAAAUCUAUAUAUGCUUGGCUAAUGCAAAUAUUAUUCAAGUGCAUAUAUAAUUAGUUCAUUGUACUAGUCUAUACAAAAUCUACGUCUAUAGGCAAUCAGCUCUUAUGUGGUAAUGCAGGUCUUCAAUCCAUUGAGUAAACUGAGCCAUAUGUUUAUCUUUCUAAUGCUGUAAUAUCAGUUCUUUAGCCACAGUAAGGGCUAAUACAUAGAAAUAUAUCUUUUAAAGAAGUAUUGUCCUUAUUAUCUCAUCAACAAAAUGCUGUUUUUGACAGGUCUUUUCUAUACAAACAUAAUAAAUUCUAAAUGUGUCUUUGUCAGAAUGCUCAUCUCAUUCAAAAUGUGCCUCCCAGCUUCAAAAGACUGAACAUCCUAUAUUACAACAAUGAAAUAGAUAAAAAUACACAGACAAAAAUACACCUGGCAUGCUCACCUAAAAUCAAUUUAAUUUCUUCCUAGAGAGCUUAUUUCUAGAAAGAAGUCUUAAAGUUGGUUUUAGUAAUUCAAUAACUAAAAUUCUAACCCGAAGUCAUAUAUAAGAUCCUUCAGAUACACAGCCUUGCUAAAUAGCUUCUUUAACAUCUCGGUGCAACUAAGAAUAUUGAUUACACUGUUCAAUCAAUGAGCACUGUAACUGAUAAUGUGACAAGAGUGUAAGUCUGAGCAUUGUAAGUGAUGAGGCAGCAUAAUAUAAGCUCUGAUGUUUAGAAACAUUGCAUGGAAAAUUCUGACAAGGUUAGGCUGAAUUAGCUGUGGAAGAAAUUAAACCAAUUAUGAAGCAUACGAUAGUUAUUCCACCACCCACUGACAGGUAUAUAGGGAAAAACAAGUACAUACUGUUGUUUUUUUUUAAUCACAGCUGCUCAAGUCAAUUCUCUAUGAUGAAAACAAAAACAGAAAUAAAACACAAGCAAUGAGUGAGCGUAUUUAAAUAAAGCAUGAAUAUAUAUCGCCAGGAAAUGAAGAAGUGGCUGGUCAGUUGCUUCCAAGAAAUUCUCAAGUUUUGAACACAAGCAACUGGCUUUAAAGCUAUAGAUUUCUUUUAAGUAUUGCAGCUAACAGCAGACUUAUCAAGCAUUAAAAUAACUGAUCACUUUCUAAUACUACACCAUUCAAAAAAAUUCUGUCACCCUCUUUAUCCUCCGUAACAUUUUGCCAGCACAGAUGGGGAGAAUAGCAAGGUGCAAAGAAAAACAGUAUUUUUGUAUCAUCAACUACUGUGAGUUCUUCUCAUCCUUACAUCUUGCAACAUUUUUUUCUAGACAAAACUUUAAGGACACAGAAACAUUUUUUUUUCCUGGCAUCGUUCUCCUACAAAUUAUAGGAAUACUAUCUGAAACAAAUAGAAUGUAAGGCAAGCAUCAAUGCAAAUGACCUUUUGCAGUUUUCCUUUUGCAGUGGAAAAAUAAAAGGAUCAGGAAAUAGUGCAAAAUCUAAAGAAACAGUGGCAUUUUUCAAAAUAAAUAGCCUUUCUUCAUUAUGCAGGUCUCAGAUAAUAGCCAUGUUAACAAUUUGCAUGAACCCAACAUUUAGCAAGCUGCUUAUAAGAUGGCCCACAGGGACAGAGGGGUUGGAAAAGAUAUUAGAUGUACUAGGAGGGAAACUUGGGACCAAAUAAGAAUUCAGAUAGAGAAGGACAGGUACAGGGGGAAAAAGCAAAAAAAAAAAAAAAAAA
This is a long non-coding RNA of Crotalus tigris (Tiger rattlesnake), 4515 nucleotides long. RefSeq lists it as uncharacterized. The record is from RefSeq and is a predicted model, not a curated record. The transcript has 3 exons. Lineage: Eukaryota; Metazoa; Chordata; Lepidosauria; Squamata; Viperidae.